AUUGAACGCUGGCGGCAUGCCUUACACAUGCAAGUCGAACGGCAGCGCGGGGCAACCUGGCGGCGAGUGGCGAACGGGUGAGUAAUAUAUCGGAACGUACCCUGGAGUGGGGGAUAACGUAGCGAAAGUUACGCUAAUACCGCAUACGAUCUAAGGAUGAAAGUGGGGGAUUCGCAAGAACCUCAUGCUCCUGGAGCGGCCGAUAUCUGAUUAGCUAGUUGGUGGGGUAAAGGCUCACCAAGGCUUCGAUCAGUAGCUGGUCUGAGAGGACGACCAGCCACACUGGAACUGAGACACGGUCCAGACUCCUACGGGAGGCAGCAGUGGGGAAUUUUGGACAAUGGGCGCAAGCCUGAUCCAGCAAUGCCGCGUGAGUGAAGAAGGCCUUCGGGUUGUAAAGCUCUUUUGUCAGGGAAGAAACGGUGAAGGCUAAUAUCCUUUGCUAAUGACGGUACCUGAAGAAUAAGCACCGGCUAACUACGUGCCAGCAGCCGCGGUAAUGCGUAGGGUGCAAGCGUUAAUCGGAAUUACUGGGCGUAAAGCGUGCGCAGGCGGUUUUGUAAGUUUGUCGUGAAAGCCCCGGGCUCAACCUGGGAAUUGCGAUGAAGACUGCAAGGCUUGAAUCUGGCAGAGGGGGGUAGAAUUCCACGUGUAGCAGUGAAAUGUGUAGAGAUGUGGAGGAACACCGAUGGCGAAGGCAGCCCCCUGGGUCAAGAUUGACGCUCAUGCACGAAAGCGUGGGGAGCAAACAGGAUUAGAUACCCUGGUAGUCCACGCCCUAAACGAUGUCUACUAGUUGUCGGGUUUUAAUUAACUUGGUAACGCAGCUAACGCGUGAAGUAGACCGCCUGGGGGGUACGGUCGCAAGAUUAAAACUCAAAGGAAUUGACGGGGACCCGCACAAGCGGUGGAUGAUGUGGAUUAAUUCGAUGCAACGCGAAAAACCUUACCUACCCUUGACAUGUACGGAAGGCCGGAGAGACCUGGCUGUGCUCGAAAGAGAACCGUAACACAGGUGCUGCAUGGCUGUCGUCAGCUCGUGUCGUGAGAUGUUGGGUUAAGUCCCGCAACGAGCGCAACCCUUGUCAUUAGUUGCUACGAAAGGGCACUCUAAUGAGACUGCCGGUGACAAACCGGAGGAAGGUGGGGAUGACGUCAAGUCCUCAUGGCCCUUAUGGGUAGGGCUUCACACGUCAUACAAUGGUACAUACAGAGGGCCGCCAACCCGCGAGGGGGAGCUAAUCCCAGAAAGUGUAUCGUAGUCCGGAUUGUAGUCUGCAACUCGACUACAUGAAGUUGGAAUCGCUAGUAAUCGCGGAUCAGCAUGUCGCGGUGAAUACGUUCCCGGGUCU
Molecule: ribosomal RNA, 1352 nt
Filed under: uncultured bacterium
Lineage: Bacteria
Description: bacterial SSU rRNA
Rfam family: Bacterial small subunit ribosomal RNA
Source: RNAcentral